GUCGAGAAUCUUUCACAAUGGGGGCAACCCUGAUGGAGCGACGCCGCGUGGAGGAUAAGGUCUUCGGAUUGUAAACUCCUGUCAUGCGUGAACAAGGUUGCUUGGAUAAUACCUGAGCAAAUUGAUGGUAGCGCAAGAGGAAGAGACGGCUAACUCUGUGCCAGCAGCCGCGGUAAUACAGAGGUCUCAAGCGUUGUUCGGAAUCACUGGGCGUAAAGGGUGCGUAGGUGGCGUGGUAAGUCAGAUGUGAAAGCCAGGGGCUCAACCUCGGAACUGCAUGCGAUACUGCCAUGGUAGAGUACUGGAGAGGUGACUAGAAUUCUCGGUGUAGCAGUGAAAUGCGUAGAUAUCGAGAGGAAUACCAAAGGCGUAGGCAGGUCACUGGACAGUUACUGACACUGAGGCACGAAGGCCAGGGGAGCGAACGGGAUUAGAUACCCCUGUAGUCC
This 449-nucleotide ribosomal RNA is filed under the name uncultured bacterium. RNAcentral describes it as "partial 16S ribosomal RNA". It matches the Rfam family "Bacterial small subunit ribosomal RNA", at positions 354 to 796 of the family's 1533-position model. The record is from RNAcentral.